Molecule: non-coding RNA, 62 nt
Filed under: Alexandrium minutum
Lineage: Eukaryota; Dinophyceae; Gonyaulacales; Pyrocystaceae
Source: RNAcentral
UUUUUUUUUUUUUUUUUUUUUUUUUUUUUUUUUUUUUUUUUUUUUUGCAAUUUGCAUCAUGA